Molecule: ribosomal RNA, 401 nt
Filed under: uncultured bacterium
Lineage: Bacteria
Description: bacterial SSU rRNA
Rfam family: Bacterial small subunit ribosomal RNA
Source: RNAcentral
CUACUCUUGACAUCUACAGAAUUCGCUAGAGAUAGCUUAGUGCCUUCGGGAACUGUAAGACAGGUGCUGCAUGGCUGUCGUCAGCUCGUGUUGUGAAAUGUUGGGUUAAGUCCCGCAACGAGCGCAACCCUUAUCCUUGUUUGCCAGCACGUAAUGGUGGGAACUCCAGGGAGACUGCCGGUGAUAAACCGGAGGAAGGUGGGGACGACGUCAAGUCAUCAUGGCCCUUACGAGUAGGGCUACACACGUGCUACAAUGGCGCAUACAGAGGGCUGCAAGCUAGCGAUAGUGAGCGAAUCCCAAAAAGUGCGUCGUAGUCCGGAUCGGAGUCUGCAACUCGACUCCGUGAAGUCGGAAUCGCUAGUAAUCGUGAAUCAGAAUGUCACGGUGAAUACGUUCCC